Molecule: ribosomal RNA, 301 nt
Filed under: uncultured bacterium
Lineage: Bacteria
Description: partial 16S ribosomal RNA
Rfam family: Bacterial small subunit ribosomal RNA
Source: RNAcentral
CAGUAGCCGCGGUAAUACGUAGGGUCCGAGCGUUGUCCGGAAUUAUUAGGCGUAAAGGGCUCGUAGGCGGUUUGUUGCGUCGGGAGUGAAAACCAGAGGCUUAACUUCUGGCUUGCUUUCGAUACGGGCAGACUUGAGGCAUUCAGGGGAGAACGGAAUUCCUGGAGUAGCGGUGAAAUGCGCAGAUAUCAGGAGGAACACCGGUGGCGAAGGCGGUUCUCUGGGAAUGUUCUGACGCUGAGGAGCGAAAGUGUGGGGAGCGAACAGGAUUAGAUACCCCUGUAGUCCCUGUCUCUUAUAA